AUCCCUUUGUGGUUCAUAAGCAUGAUGACUGAGUUUUUGCACUCCUGCAUGAGAUGUAUCUCCCUCAAACCUUAUGACGUGCACAUUACCUGACUCACA
Small nucleolar RNA from Macaca fascicularis (crab-eating macaque), 99 nucleotides. NCBI's taxonomy places the organism in Eukaryota, Metazoa, Chordata, Mammalia, Primates, Cercopithecidae. The record is from Ensembl.